UAUAGUGUGGUUAGCUCGGUUGGACGGUUUCGAACCGGUUUUCGAGUCCAGGCGGGCACACGGGUCUUAGGGGCCUGGAGGGCUGGGACAGUUAGCGGCGCAGGAGGAAUACCAUGGAGCGGGAGGAACGAGGGAAGCAAAAAGGGGCAAAAAGCAGCAAGAGCUAAUUCCAAUUCGAGCUGGCUUCUAAUCUACUAGCUGUUGUCGCGUGACGUUUUCGAACUCGAAUCCUGGCGUCGUUCGCUGAUGGUUGUGUGUGCUGGUCUCGUCGUGUGGGGCUGUGUGUACGAGAGGAGAUGACGCGAAUGGCAUGUUUGUCAACACCCCGUUGUCCUGCAAAAAGUGAAAUGGGAUGCACACCCCAAAAACCCAAAACCAUUGUGGCAGCAUCGUGCAGAUGCUUCCGGUUUCCGCUAGAGGGCAGUCACCAAUCGGGGCUCGAAGGGAGAGUUAGUGAACAAAAAGCAAUGGGGGAAAGUGGAAGUGAUUCGGGCCGUAAAGGAGUCGAAAUGAAGUGAAGCGUGUUGUUUUGUUUGUUUUUUUUUGUUUGUUUGUUAUUAUUAAUGUAUUACUCUCCAGGUUCGGUUUUAUUGCUUACUUACAAACGUAUAAAAACAUACAUAUAAUUAGUCGCCGAUCGCGCAGCAAUAGUGACAAAGGUGUGGAGAGAAGGUUUUGUUGGUUAAAGCGCGAUUAAAUCAUCCUUAAGUGUACCACACAAUGUGUGUGUGUAAGUGUUGGUGUUUAAUUUGUUAAUAAAUAAGUCUUACAAUCUAAUAACACGGCAAGCUGUAACAACGGGAAAAGCGUUGGGGGGUACGCGAUCGAACCCUCGAUCGUAUUGUUAUUGCUCUAAGCCUAAGUCCGAUCGGAUCGAUUGCACUCUACUCUACAAUGCUACUCGGUGUGUUGGUGUACUCGCAGCUAAGCUUAGCAUAUUGUCCUGUUCGAUACAGUGAGCUCCGAACUUCUUCGACCAAAACACGCACCUGCAGACCUCUCCAAUGAAUUGGAGGGUGUACAGCGGCAAGCAGCAAGAACAAGGAAGCAGUAGUUAUAAGUGGUAGCAGUAGCAGCAGUACACGCAACAGCAUGCAACUGGUUCGUGCGUUGCAGCACAGCGUGUACUAAAUAUCCUCCGCAAAGCUGACAAGAUAAGUAUAUUGUUUCUGGGGCGCUUGUUAUCGUUGUUACCACAGUUGCUGCAGCGGAAAUUUAUUGGUUAGGCUGUUUUUCCUUCGAGACGGGGCCUGAGUAGCCGAAAGCAAAAUUACAAAAAAAAAACAACCAAGAACAACGUCAGCACACAAGCACACAAAUCUAUUAACGCUCUUGCCAGGCGCCAUUAUGCGAUUUCGAAAGCGUGUAGCGUGCCUUUGACUUUGCCCAGAACGUUCGGGGUCAUUCGCCCGGUUGUACUGCGGUCAAACAGGUUUUACCAGGCUGUAGGAGCACGAGUCUACGCAGCCAGGAAAUCGCAGGCAGGGGUUAAAGGAUGGCAAUGGAUUGCAAAUGGCAUACACGAAACAAAGGCGCGAAUCUAUUUUUACCAAAUUUUUAAAACAAAUUGUAAUUGGGCGUUAAUGUGCUGGUUUGUGUGUGUGUGUGUGUGUGUGUGGCGGUUGUUGUUGAUGUCAUAAACAAGCUCAUGUACGCAUCCAAACUGCAACCACCAUCUUGAGGACGCUGCAGCACAUUUGGACACAGGCGAUGCCGGAUUGGUGCAAACUGGCCGUGAGGAGGCCCUAUCGAUAUCGACGGCAGGUCGGUGGUGGUAACUACUCUUCCCUACGCUACGCUACGUCAGCAUCUUUAGACAUUGUACAUUCGGGCUAGUGCAUACAUCGGCGUCAACAACAAGUCGGUCUCGACACAACAACGCUAAAGUGUAGAUCAAACGAACCGGGACAGGUGUGACAGCAAUGCGGCACACGGCAAAUGGCAUCAUCGUCCAAAAACACGCCAGAAGCUCGAUCCGCGUGGGUAGCGUCAUUGUUGUAUUGAAAGGAACUGAGUCAACAACUGACCCACCUGUGAGAUGGAGAUGUCCCUACUAAGUUUACGCGAUGAUUCAUGCACGGAACGCGGGAAAUCCGGAGAAGGUUCUAGAAUAUUUCUGCAUCGCCUAAAGGCUCCUGCCCCAAUGCUCGAGAGGAUCGAAGUUUGUUGAUCGAUUUGUACACUAAUCAAGAUCGCAGCAACGCUGUCUCUUCUAUUUCCAACAUCUGCACCAUAGCAACAAUGUUACCUAUCUCUCGACAAUCGUUCAUCUUUCAUUCGAAAAUUUCUCUUGGUACGUGCUACGUGCAGCAGUACCCGAUAGGAACGAUUAUUCUCUCGAACGGCAGUUUCUUGCAUACGUCCCUCCUCUUGCCAUAUCACCCCGCCGGGGGCUAACGAAAUCUAUUUUAGUAAUGAAAUCUUUAUUGCUAAUUAUUCAGCUCGAAGAAGCACUAGACGCCGCACAAAGUUUGAAGCAUUCUGAAGGGGAAAGGGGUGGGUUUACAUUGUUUUCCUGCUCGCUCCUUCUGCUGUCCUAUCUUCUGAUCUUCCUAAACUGAAUCCGUUCCGUUCAAUUGCCAUCUUUUUUUGCGCGCUUUUCAAUGAUUUUCUGCUCUGCAAGGGUUAAGAAGUGUGUACUACUCACUAUCUCGCCUCACUUGGACCUCAGUAGCAUCGCUUCCUAUCCUCUCCAAAGUGUAUCUUUUGCACGGCUUCGAAGUGAUCAAUACCAAACCUUCAAGGUAAGUAACGAGCCUCAUAAAUCCAAUGUUCUGGUUUAUAUCUUUCAUACGCAAUAAAGUAAACUACCGAGCUUCGUAAAGCUAAACACGCACCAAAAAGAACAACAAAUCGAAACCUUUAAUUACGCUAGCCGUCUUCACUCAUCAUCCGAAAAUCAAUCGAAAGAAACCCCUUUCCAAAGAAAUGAAAA
Anopheles merus is the source of this 2935-nucleotide long non-coding RNA. RefSeq lists it as uncharacterized. The transcript has 2 exons. The record is from RefSeq and is a predicted model, not a curated record. NCBI's taxonomy places the organism in Eukaryota, Metazoa, Arthropoda, Insecta, Diptera, Culicidae.